GUUGUCUUGUUGUUGCUGAGAUUUUGGGUGUAAAAAUUGUGAACACUUCUCAUUUCUUUCUUUAUAUUGAGAGUCCAUGUCAAGGCGUUGAAAGAAAAUUUUGGGAUUUGUGUGAUGGCACUUGUGAGAUUUUCCCCUUAAAAAUUUAGUUCCUGGCAAUUUUCUUGUUAGUUUCUGGUGGAGAUGAGUUUUUGAUCAUUGCUAUUUUUUGAGUGAUAAUCAUAUGGUUUUGGACUUGGUUUUUAGGAGUGAAGGGAUGUUCUACAUUUGAUAGGGAUUUCCUUAAAAAAGUAUAAAAGAUUUCUAAUCUUUAGUUACAAUGGGAUGAAGAUAUGUUCAUGGGAGUUGGUGAAAAGGGUGAAUUCAGUGUGAAAU
Molecule: unclassified non-coding RNA, 375 nt
Filed under: Hevea brasiliensis (rubber tree)
Lineage: Eukaryota; Viridiplantae; Streptophyta; Magnoliopsida; Malpighiales; Euphorbiaceae
Source: RNAcentral